GCCCCGUCGUGCCCGGACC
RNAcentral lists this small nuclear RNA (19 nucleotides) under Arabidopsis thaliana (thale cress). Its description in RNAcentral is "snRNA_13487". Lineage: Eukaryota; Viridiplantae; Streptophyta; Magnoliopsida; Brassicales; Brassicaceae. The record is from RNAcentral.